CUACGGGUGGCAGCAGUGAGGAAUAUUGCACAAUGGGGGGAACCCUGAUGCAGCAACGCCGCGUGGAGGAUGACGCAUUUCGGUGUGUAAACUCCUUUUAUAUGUCAAGAAAAUGACGGUAGCAUAUGAAUAAGCACCGGCUAACUCCGUGCCAGCAGCCGCGGUAAUACGGAGGGUGCAAGCGUUACUCGGAAUCACUGGGCGUAAAGGACGCGUAGGCGGGUUGGAAAGUCAGGUGUGAAAUCCUACAGCGUAACUGUAGAACUGCACUUGAAACUUCUAAUCUAGAGUAUGGGAGGGGGAGAUGGAAUUAGUGGUGUAGGGGUAAUAUCCGUAGAUAUCACUAGGAAUACCUAAAGCGGAGGCGAUCUCCUGGAACAUUACUGACGCUAAGGCGUGAAAGCGUGGGGAGCAAACAGGAUUAGAUACCCGCGUAGUC
This 439-nucleotide ribosomal RNA is filed under the name uncultured bacterium. Its description in RNAcentral is "partial 16S ribosomal RNA". It matches the Rfam family "Bacterial small subunit ribosomal RNA", at positions 339 to 795 of the family's 1533-position model. The record is from RNAcentral.